AAAUUGAAGAGUUUGAUCAUGGCUCAGAUUGAACGCUGGCGGCAGGCCUAACACAUGCAAGUCGAACGGUAACAGGAAGCAGCUUGCUGCUUCGCUGACGAGUGGCGGACGGGUGAGUAAUGUCUGGGAAACUGCCUGAUGGAGGGGGAUAACUACUGGAAACGGUGGCUAAUACCGCAUAACGUCGCAAGACCAAAGAGGGGGACCUUCGGGCCUCUUGCCAUCAGAUGUGCCCAGAUGGGAUUAGCUAGUUGGUGAGGUAACGGCUCACCAAGGCGACGAUCCCUAGCUGGUCUGAGAGGAUGACCAGCCACACUGGAACUGAGACACGGUCCAGACUCCUACGGGAGGCAGCAGUGGGGAAUAUUGCACAAUGGGCGCAAGCCUGAUGCAGCCAUGCCGCGUGUAUGAAGAAGGCCUUAGGGUUGUAAAGUACUUUCAGCGGGGAGGAAGGUGUUGUG
This 461-nucleotide ribosomal RNA is filed under the name Salmonella enterica. RNAcentral's name for it is "bacterial SSU rRNA". It matches the Rfam family "Bacterial small subunit ribosomal RNA", at positions 1 to 458 of the family's 1533-position model. The record is from RNAcentral. Lineage: Bacteria; Pseudomonadati; Pseudomonadota; Gammaproteobacteria; Enterobacterales; Enterobacteriaceae.